UUAUUGUUAAUGAUGAUUUCAUAGUUCAAAUGAAACUAUUUGAUUACAGCAAAUAUAUCUUUCGCUCCUAUCUGACCUUAAUCAUUU
Small nucleolar RNA from Leptinotarsa decemlineata (Colorado potato beetle), 87 nucleotides. RefSeq annotates it as small nucleolar RNA snR60/Z15/Z230/Z193/J17. NCBI's taxonomy places the organism in Eukaryota, Metazoa, Arthropoda, Insecta, Coleoptera, Chrysomelidae. The record is from RefSeq and is a predicted model, not a curated record.